GUGAUUAGCCGUGACUUAUUCAUAUGGUACCUUCAGAACUUAUUCCCAUAUAAAAGAUCUUUACACCCCGAAGGGCGUCAUCGAUCACGCGGCAUUGCUCCGUCAGGCUUUCGCCCAUUGCGGAAUAUUCCUC
RNAcentral lists this ribosomal RNA (133 nucleotides) under uncultured bacterium. Its description in RNAcentral is "partial 16S ribosomal RNA". The record is from RNAcentral.